RNAcentral lists this long non-coding RNA (689 nucleotides) under Triticum aestivum (bread wheat). Its description in RNAcentral is "long non-coding RNA (TAES_LNC021363)". The record is from RNAcentral. Lineage: Eukaryota; Viridiplantae; Streptophyta; Magnoliopsida; Poales; Poaceae.
GGCGGUGGCGGGGCCCGCCUCUGUUCACCGGCGGCGCAGGCUGAGGGCGGCUUGGGCCGCCUCUGCCGUGGCCAUCGGCCGGUGGAGGUGGUGGGCUCGUCAUGGCGGCCGGGCGUGUGGCCUUCUCCUCCCGCGGGCAUGCGCCGACGGGAUUGCGGCAGCGCGGCGGUGUCGGAGCAGGUGAUGGUUCAGGAAGUAGUAGUAGAGUAACGGCGCAGAGAUUAUCUGAGGCCGUCGUGACAUUUAGCUCUGCCGAGAUUAUCUCGUUCUCUAGUAGUACCCCAAUGGUGGUGAUUUUGCUACUAGAUUUUCUAAUGAUAGUAUAAUUUGUUCUAGUUGGAUUAGGAUGUUUGUAUGUCUGGAGUAGAUCAACGUCCCUUCAUUUCUGGACUGUUUGAUAUUUAUUAGAAAUUGCAGAAAAGAGUAGAUCAUUACGAUGCAUUUUGUUUAUUCAUAGAGAUGUUUAAAGUUCAGUAGCUUUAUAAUCGACAUACAUAUGAUUUUUAUGAAUGAAUAUUACUUCACAUGAUAAUUUCUGGCUCUUUCCUGUGUUCUCUUCUGUUUUGUGCUAAACUGCUAAGUUGGGUACACUCUAUAUUUAUCGUGAACUGUAGUUUACAAAGAUCCAUAGAAUUUCAUCUGAUGUAGUUUCCCAACCUGUAAACUCAAGUCUUCUAUGUGCUUUUUUG